This 370-nucleotide long non-coding RNA is filed under the name Ananas comosus (pineapple). RNAcentral's name for it is "long non-coding RNA (ACOM_LNC028756)". Lineage: Eukaryota; Viridiplantae; Streptophyta; Magnoliopsida; Poales; Bromeliaceae. The record is from RNAcentral.
GUUUACAGAAUGGUACAAAGCAAGAUUUUAAGUGCCCAUCGGCACGGGCCGUAUCCACUGUACCGUACCGUGCCAACAAGAUACCGGUACGAUACAAACCCCGUGCUGAUGGCACAGCUCAAAACCCUCUAUUCUUUAAAUUAGUAAGUAAUUUUCUCAAUAAAGUUCAAAAGAUGUGAUAAAAAGACAUAAUAAAUAGUUAAAAUAUUUUGUUGCUAAAGAAAAUAAAUAUUCCAUGCUAUUAUGUGUCGGCACACAAGAAUUUUUUUGACCGGCACGGCUCCGCACGCAUCGUGCCGUACAGUGCCGGCAAGUUUCCGACACGAUCCCGUGCCACGGCACUUAAAUCUUUGGUACAAAGCGGUUUUUG